GAUGCAACACCACCUUGUCCUUCUU
This 25-nucleotide unclassified non-coding RNA is filed under the name Mus musculus (house mouse). RNAcentral's name for it is "oocyte_clustered_small_RNA2883". The record is from RNAcentral. Lineage: Eukaryota; Metazoa; Chordata; Mammalia; Rodentia; Muridae.